This 467-nucleotide ribosomal RNA is filed under the name uncultured bacterium. RNAcentral describes it as "partial 16S ribosomal RNA". It matches the Rfam family "Bacterial small subunit ribosomal RNA", at positions 28 to 506 of the family's 1533-position model. The record is from RNAcentral.
GACGAACGCUGGCGGCGUGCUUAACACAUGCAAGUCGAACGGAAAGGCCCUGCUUUUGUGGGGUGCUCGAGUGGCGAACGGGUGAGUAACACGUGAGUAACCUGCCCUUGACUUUGGGAUAACUUCAGGAAACUGGGGCUAAUACCGGAUAGGAGCUCCUGCUGCAUGGUGGGGGUUGGAAAGUUUCGGCGGUUGGGGAUGGACUCGCGGCUUAUCAGCUUGUUGGUGGGGUAGUGGCUUACCAAGGCUUUGACGGGUAGCCGGCCUGAGAGGGUGACCGGCCACAUUGGGACUGGGAUACGGCCCAGACUCCUACGGGAGGCAGCAGUGGGGAAUAUUGCACAAUGGGCGGAAGCCUGAUGCAGCAACGCCGCGUGCGGGAUGACGGCCUUCGGGUUGGAAACCGCUUUCGCCUGUGACGAAGCGUGAGUGACGGUAAUGGGUAAAGAAGCACCGGCGAACUACGU